This 72-nucleotide transfer RNA is filed under the name Camelus bactrianus (Bactrian camel). It matches the Rfam family "tRNA". Rfam says of the family: Transfer RNA (tRNA) molecules are approximately 80 nucleotides in length. Lineage: Eukaryota; Metazoa; Chordata; Mammalia; Artiodactyla; Camelidae. The record is from Rfam by way of RNAcentral. RNAcentral also lists the same sequence under 2 other names.
GAGGGUAUAGCUCAGUGGUAGAGUGAAUGCUUAGCAUGCACGAGGUCCUGGGUUCAAUCCCCAGUGCCUCCA